UUCAAGACAAACGUGCCUUGAAGUGCAGC
RNAcentral lists this non-coding RNA (29 nucleotides) under Rattus norvegicus (Norway rat). Lineage: Eukaryota; Metazoa; Chordata; Mammalia; Rodentia; Muridae. The record is from RNAcentral.